Molecule: long non-coding RNA, 1213 nt
Organism: Uranotaenia lowii
Lineage: Eukaryota; Metazoa; Arthropoda; Insecta; Diptera; Culicidae
Exons: 3
Source: RefSeq, a predicted model, not a curated record
ACGAACUUUUAGUCUGUACUCGAACCGCUGCCACAUUUUCUGUUGACAGGCAUUUCAUUUUGUUUUCUUUUCGGGCCAGUCGAUUUCGGAAUGUUUCGAUUCCGUUUUUACGUAAAAUUUCUAUCGGAUCAAAAGUGUGCCGGUAAGAAGGUGUUUUGUUAACCGUUCCCGGAGGAGCUCAUCACAGGCUACUCCAAGACCAUCCAAGAUUUUAAGUUUUUUCGGCAUAUAAUGCCGCUGCGGCUGUUUGCAGGUAUCCGAAGGCUUUUCCUUUGGCUACUAUGGUGGCUGUUCGGAAGAACCUUCGGCGGAUGUUUUUCCGGGUUGAAAUGAAUUCUCUUGGAAACGAAAUUUCUUUUGGUUUCAUUGUUUCAGUGGUCAAUUGAAAAAGGGGCCGAAAACAAUCGGAGCGGCCGCUUCCAAAUGUGAAGCCUAUAACAAAACCUGCGGAUCUCUGUGGAGGCCUUGGAUUUGCUUGUGCAUACAGAUUUAAGUUUUCCCUACGAAUUUGGAAACAAGGACUUCAUAAGACACCUACAAUCAUGCUGCUGUGGAUGCGCGGGAAAUUUGACAUGGCGCUGCGAUCUUUAGAAUUAUCUCCCAAUUACAGGCAAAGUAAGUUAAAUUUUACGUUAUUCCUAAUGCCCUCAAAAGCGCCCAUUGAGCUCUUAUUUUUGAAGAUAGAAGUUAAUUUUUAUUUACUCAAGCUGAAAAAUCUUAUCGAAGUUUCCAUCUGAUUUAAAAAUAAUUAAAGUCGAUCCGUUUGAAGUUCGAUUUGUUCAAUCCUUCCGAUCCCUACGAUCAGUUUGAACCAUAUGAUCUUUCCGAACUGUUCGAUCCGUUCAAAUCGUGCAAUCCGUUUGAUCAUUUCGAUUGGUUCGAUCCCUUUGAAUCAUACGAUUCGUUCAAACCGUUCGUUGGUUUGAUCAGCUCGAUCCGUUUGAACCGAACGAUCCAUUUGAACCGUACAAUCUUUUCGAUCCGUUCGACCUUUUCGUUGUUGGCCAAAAUUCAAAACCAUGAUGAGUUUGAUUUUUCCCGGGAAUCUCAUCCCUGUAGGAUACAGAUGAACAUAUCAGAAUUGAAUAGUCAGUCGAUUAACGAAUUUUGGCGGUAACGGAUGUGAAUUGCGAUCGAAGAAUCUUAACAGAAUCCGACAAUCCCGUAGGAUGAUUGAGUUGUAGAGGGGCUAUAAGUUUAAUAUUUAAUUUAA